GACAUCAGGGGUAAAAGGGUAACUAGCUUCACCAGUAGCUACAACAAGAAAUUUACAAAAAUACUCUUCCAUUUCAUCAGAAUUACCAUUUCUAACCUUAACAUUCCAUUUUUUAGUAAAUUCAUCAAAUUUAGCAAAUUCAACAUUUCUUUUGUAAAAAGGUGUGAUAUUAAAAUGAGUAACAUAGUCAUCCAAGUAUUGAAUGAAUAGUUUUUUUGGUAUAUAAGUAGGUGAAGAAGAAGGAAAAGGAAUAUAAGGAAGUUGACAAAAUUGUUUAGCUAAAUGAAGAUGAACUCUAUCAUAAGAAUAUUUUUUCCACAUAGGAGAGUAACAAUCUUCUUUUCAAGGAUGAGAUUUGAUAUACAUAAUUUAUUUAGACAUGCAGAUGUAGCAAGACCACCAGGGCCACCACCAACAAUGAUAACCAUAGGUUCUUCAUGGUUAUCAAAUGUUGCCAUGACUAAAAUUGAGAAGAAAAUUUGUUGGUGUUGAGAAAAAAAAGAGAGGAGGGAUAUGUGUAUAUAUAUAUAUACUAGAUGACAACUUUGGAGUCAUUAGAAUUUAUUUAAUUUUUUGACUAUUUGAGGCUUCAUUUAUGGUGACAUUAAUUUUUCUUCUCCUUUUUUUAAUAUUUUGGUUUGAUUUGGUAGAUUGUGUUACACAAAUUAUUAAGUCAACACUUAUAAAUUUACAUUGCUAAAAUUACAUUUUGUCAACAAUUUAUAAGUGUUGACUUAAUAAUUUGUGCAACACAAUCUACCAAAUCAAACCAAAAUAUUUAAAAAGGGAGAAGAAAAAUUAAUAAGUCACCAUAAAUGAAGCCCCAAAUAGUCAAAAAAAAUAAAAAAUUCUUCUGAAAAAACUGAAUAAAUGACGAUAUAAAGAUUAUAUAUUACUAGUACUAACAUGACUUUCUAGUUUUCGAUAUAUAACAUUAGAUUCCUAUCAAUUCUUAACAAAUUAAUAAAUAAAUUAAAAAAUAAAAAUGAAAAAUGUUUUCUUUUUUAAAUUCUAGCGUAUUUUCCUUUAAUUAACUAGAGUAAUAUUUUUCUGCAUAAAUAUAAUAUUUUGCUAGCGUUUGAUCAUAGAUUUUCAAAUAUUUUUGGCAAAUAUUAUUUGGGUGAAAAUUUGGGCGAAAUUUCACCAUGUGUUUGACCAUAGUAUUUGGGAAACAUAUUUCACUUUUUUUGAAAAAUAUGAUUUAUACCCAUAAGUUUUAAAAACUAUCAAAACUAACUAUAAGUUUGUAUUACAAGUCAAUUGGAUCUUCGUUGCAACAAAUAACAAGUAGUGUCCAUGACAAUGGAGGAAUGUGGUAGUUUGGAGUGAGUGCAACAAGCAUUAUUCCAUACAACGUAAAGUAGACAAAGCACAUAACAUUGUUACCCUGAGCCGAUUGUUCAUCAUUUUAUUUUUCAUCAACAACCAUAUCGUCACUUUCAUAUUCACUGAAUAUUUCAUCACUACUUUGGUGUUCAUGUAAAAAAAAUUAUGUAAUAGAGCACAAAUAACUACUAUAGAGAGUGUUUUUGUAAAAGAUAAAAAUUUGGUGUAUAAUUUAAAUUUUUAAAAGAUUCCAAAUAAUGAGAUUUGGCCCAAAUACUAGUUUUUUCUAGUAUUUGAGAAUUUGGGUUAUUUGCCAAAUAAUGACAAAUUGUAUGGACAAACACUAUUUGUCAAAUCUUUCCCCAAAUUUUACUUUGAAAAUCUAUGGCCAAACGGGUCUAAUUGUAACUUGCAUGAUAUAUUGAUUCCCCAAUUUUCUCCUAGCCAGUUGGUUAAAAAGAUCACUCCUUCCUAAAAUAUCUCUCUCCAAUAUUUUCUCUUCCUAGUCUUCUUCCAUAAUUCAAGAUAAAAAUAAUUGUUCCUAAUCUUUUUCCCAAAAAUAUAUUUCUUUAAUAUUCACACAAUUUUCUCCUUUAAAUAUUUUCAUACAAUUUUUUUCUUAGUUUUUUAAACACAAUUUUUUCUUCUUUUUCCUAUUUGUAUGCUUUCAUCCCUGAUUUUUUAGUUUUUUUUUUUUAUAAUUUAAAUCUUGAAAAAUAACAAAAUUUAUUAUUAUUUUUUCAGUACGAAAGAUGGUAUCAUUCAUUCAAUACGAAAAUCGAUAACAUGAAUUUUAAAUUCAAAUUGGUAUCAUAGUGUAUGAAUUAGUAUACAAAUUGAUAUCAGUUAAAUAAAUAUCACAAUUUUAUUUUUAUUUAUUUUUAAUUAAAGAGGGCUCAACGACCCAUUUUUUCAUUAAUGUAAAGCAGAUUAUUACAGUGCCCAAAAUCCAAAAGAAAAAAACUUAAUAUAAAACUAAAGAAAAGGAAAGAAAUAAGAAAAGACACAACAAGAAAAUGUCUGGUAAUGUGAAAAUCCAUCAGAUCUGUGCUCUCCUGGUUGGUUUCUUCCAACCUCAGCACAUCCAAAUGGAACCCCAUUGGAGGUGUGAGCUCUCAUAAUUCUUCAAGAUUAUUACUUCUGGUAUUUGAGGUACAGCAAAGCACUACAAUAUCAUGUCAGCCCCCAAUUCUCAGAGAUAUGAUUUAUAGCCAAGUUAGACCAGGUAUUGUAUCCAACUUUUCGUUCCAUAUGUAUCAUCCUAUCUAUUUCUCAAACUUAUGUAGCUUAUGUAAAUAUGCCAUGAGACCCUUAAUUCCGACCAUAAGUUGAGAAAAUUGUGUUUUGCUACUAUCAAUCAUGAUUUCUUUCCCUUUCUAGAUCCCGAUGGGUUGAGUCUCAAGAGACUAAUACCACCAUCUGAGAUAAAAGAUUGGGUGAGAAAGUCACAACUUUUAGUAGCUGAAAAUCAUGUGAACUUUUGCAGAUUACAAAGAAAAAUUGGAGUCAUCAGCUUACCUUCCAUCAAAACUAAUGUCCUGAUUUGGUAUUAGGCGAACACCUCAAUGCUCUCACCAGAUGCAAAUACUCAAACCAUUACGAAAUUACUUCAGACAAUAGUUAACGAAUUUAGAUACUAACAACCAAUUCCCUUUUAUUUCUACCAGAACUUGUAAUCUUCAUAAAUAUGUUAUCAGUGUAUUGAUUUAAUCUACUAGUCUUCUUCUAAUGUGAGGAGUGCCACUCUUGUCCAAGUUUAGAAUUCUCUGCCCUUCCAUAGGAAUGUCUUGGAAAUGGCUAAAUUGAUAAUUACCUGCAAGAUCAAAAACUAGGUUAGCAAAAUAAUCAUCUAGAGUAUUUCCUUCUCGAAAGAUAUGUUGUACUCUCGCUGAUAAUGAUCUCCUCAAAUAGCUUAUGGAAUUGACCUCUAGUGUCACACUCUAAGGGACAUCCCACCUCCCUUCCAAGAUCUGUACCAUGGCCAUAGAAUCAGUUUCAAUAAUGACAUGUGAUAAAUGAUGCUCCUUACAAAAAAACAAUCCUUCUCUAAUAGCUCUAGCUUCAGCUACCAAAUUAGAGGUAUCUUGUAUCUUGAAUCCUUUAGCCACCAUCAAUGAGCCAGAGUAAUCUCUUAUUCAAAAGGCCGCAGAGCUAGGUCCUGGAUUACCCCUAGAUGCACCAUCUGUAUUGCAUUUCACCCAAUUAGUAGGGAGAGGGAUCCAUCUCACAAUGUUAAUGCUAUAGUUAUUUCUAUGCCCCUGUAAAUUAGUAAUGAUAUCCGGCCAACUGUUCCUUCCUAUAUCUCUUUCGAACCUUAUUUUAAUCACCUUCAGAAUAUUGUCAUUAAUCUCCCAAAUGACCUUUCUUUCUGAGAAUGAGCCACCAUGUAAAAUAGUGUUCCUUCUCCUCCACAAACACCACAAAAUGACAAUGGGUGAUUAUCUUCUAAAUUGGAUAUCAUAAUCCAUAAAUAUUAAUUUGUACAAUAAUUUUAUAAAUAAUUAAUAAAAUAUAAAAUUUACUAAGCAUCAAUUUUUAUACUAAUUUUUAUAGUCAUUAUACACAUUACAUAUAAAACAUGUUUAUAUAUAACUGAUAUAAAAAGAUUAAGUAAACCAAUUUGUAUAUUUAUUCCAUACAUAUUAUUUAUAUAUAUCCAUUCUAUAUACAUAUAUAGUUUCCGAUUAUAUAUUGUUUACGCUCCAAACGUGAACAUACCAUAUUAUAUAUCAAUUCCAUAUAAUGCAUAAUUAAAAAAAUCUCUGAUACCUAUUUUAAGACCAAAUGAAUAUGUUAAGAACUCAACAUAAAUAUCAAUUAGUGUAUUUAACGGGUAUAUAAAUUGGUUAACAAUGGUAGAUUAAGCUAAAACAUGAAAAUCAAAUUUAAUACAGUUUUCAUAUAUUAAUAAAAUUUUACUAACAUACAAAUUUGUUGGGCAUCAUUUUUCAUACAUAAUUAGAUACAAUUGGUGGCCUUCAUCUUCACUGAUGCAGAUCUCUCUCAAGUCUCCAACAAGGGUUCAUGAAAAAAUCAAGAAUGACUUGAAGAAGGAAAAAAAUAUUGAAAUAUAGUUAAAGAAUCACUAGUUGAAACUAACUCACAAUUAGUAUUGCUACAAUGGAGAGAAGAUUCACAUGAAUUUCAUCAUGGUUGUGAAUUUUUUUUAAAAAAAAUUAAGGAGAGAUGUUUGAAAUUUCAAGUACUAUUACGAAUUAUUACCUUUUAUGGAGGCAUGUAACAUUAUAAUUCCUAAAUUGUAGUUAGAUAAUUACCUUGGUAACUGCUAUAAAAAAAUGCUUCUUAUUUUCUCUUUCCAAUAUUAAAUAUGAAAAUAAAAUUUAAAUUAAAUAAAUUAAUUUGAAUCUGUUAUCACUAGUAAUUAAGUUGUUGUAUUAGUAAUUCCUAAUUAAUAGAUUUAUAUGAUGUAAUAUAAGAUCUUAAAUACAUAUAAGGAGUAAAUAUGACAAGUCUAAAAACAACCACCUCCCCCAUCCCCACUCUCACCCUCAAUUUACUUUUAACUCUCAAAUUUAUAAAAUUAUAUUUUAGCACUAAUUCUUAGCUAUAAUAAGACAUAUUCCUUCAUUUUUCCUCACCAUUCUAACUAUUAACUAAGCUUGUGCACAAAUCGGUCCAACUCGAAUUGUCGGACAAAAUUUGGAGCGAUUUGGAUAAUAUAAUUUAGUUAUACAAUUCGAAUUUGAUUUACAAAUUCAAGUAUAAAAUAUUAUGAUUUUUUUUAUUGCAUCCGAUCCAAUCAAGAAAUUGAACUGUGUAAACGUGGCUAAAAGUUAUUAAUACCAAAACAUGUGGUUGCAUAUUUGUGAAAAAACUCCGAUAGGUAAUUGAAGUAUUUAUUUAUCAAACAUAUAGGAAUAUUUAUUUUGAGAAGGUUAUUUUUUAGCGUGAAGAAAUAUACAAAGCGUGUCUUAAUAAAAUAUGUUACUAUUAUGCUCGCAAGCUAGUAGUAGCACAAUCUAUUUAUUUAUUUGGAACCCUCGGGGUAAUCGAUAACCUUUGCCACAAUCUCUAUCCGAACAACCACUCAACUUUGUUCUUGCAUACGGACGAGUAGCAUAAAUUAUGAAGCUCUUGUUUUGCCAUUUAUAUGCUAUAAUUAAUAAUGUAUUGGGCAUGUGCAUUUCUAACCGUACAUGCAGGAGUAGUAGGUAUCAGAUGAAUGAAUAGGGAUGAAUGUCAAAAAUUGUUAAGACAAAUAAGAAUUUGAAACAUGUAUCAAUCAUUAUUUUUAUUUCCAAAUAAAUCUAAAUUAUUUAAAAUGUAUGUAAUUAUUAAUUUUUUACAUUCUAUUUUGUGGUGACAAUUUGAGAUUACUAUACGAUGAUAAUUUGAAAAAAUAUUAUUUUAACCUUGAUUGUUUCUUAAAACAUUAUGCAAGUAUUUAUGAAUGGUAGAGAUGUGUAAAAGAUGGCUACAACACAACAAUUACAAACAAAUCCAAUCUAAAAACAUGGAAGAAUUUUAUUAUAAAAAGUCCAAACUCCCAUUGAAGUUUGAUUUAUAUAUAAAGAUGUCCUUGUUCUUUACGUAUUAAAAAUAAAACUUCUUUCUAUUUUGACACAAAGAGUAUAAAGAACCACUAGAAAAUUCAGUAAAGUAUGUUAUUCAAUUCUUGAAAUUAAAAAGAAUGACAAGUUUAAUCAAUCUUGGUCAUAAUCUGAUUAAGUUAAAUGAGGUUUGAACUGUAAAAAUUCUCACAUUCUUUUAAUUCUAAUCAUUCUCCAUUUUCUCUAGCUAUGCCUCUUUCUCCUUCUUCUUUUUUGUUUCUGAAUGAUUUUUUCUCCAUUUUUUCUGUUACUCCAUUGUUAUUGUUUUUCUUCUACCUUACCCUUGCUCUUUUUUCUUCCUCCUCCUCUUUCUCCUUUUAUUUUCUUGUGUGUUCUUGUUGUUCUUCAUCAAUUUAGAAAAAAAACCAUCUAAUUUAUUUGUAUAGUACUGGAUAUUACCUAGAACUAAUAUUCGAUCAUUUGAUAAGCUAAUAAUGUUGUGUUAUAACAAUUGUUUAUAUUGUGAAGUUGCAUUUUCAAGAAAUUUCAAUAACAGUUAUCCAUGUUGCAAUGAGAAAGUUAUUAUAUAAAAACUUUUAAGUUUUUCAUAACAACUAACAAAGAAGUUACAACAAUUAUUGCAAAUGCUACAUAUUAUAUGAAUAGCUUUUAAACAUGUAAAGAAAUUUGUUGCAAUAGUUGAUGUAAUUAAUGCAAUUUUCAAAUGAACAAUUGAAUCUAUUAGAACAACUAAUAAACUUCUUGUGUAUAUAGCAAUAAUUGUUGUACUUGGCAAGCAUUUUCAAACAAGUAAACUACCAAAUUGUACAAUUUCAAGUUCUCUUAUACUUUAAUUUUAUUUACGGGACUAAACCUGAAUGCAAAAUAAAGAUAAAUAAUAAAUUUUAUUUUAGUGCUUCUAAUAUAAAAAAAAAAUAUAACUUACAUAAAUCCCAUAGUUUUAAUAUGAAAUUACAAUAUAUCCCUCAUUAGUUUGUAAUUACAUUAAUCCCUUAAAAAGUAAUACAAAACGGGUACAUAAUAUGUAGCUCGGAUACAUUAUAACAUAAACUGGAUACAUAAUAUGUAGCUCGGAUAUAUUAAAAACUAGCUCGGAUACAUAAUAUGUAGCUCGGAUACAUUAAAUACUGGCUCGGAUACAUUAAUAUGAUACAUUAAAGAAAUAAGGGAUUUUAGAGAUUUUUAAAAAUAGAAGGGGAUAUUGGAAAUAAGGAAAAUAUAAAUGUGUACUUCAGUAAUUUUUCCAAAAAAAAAUGUGUUGAUAAAAAUUGUAUUAGUUCAAUUAGUUGAAACAUACCUAUUGUAUAAUGAUGAUAUCGUAGAUUCGAGCCUUAUUAUAUGUUAAUACUUUUUUUUUAAUUUCAAAAGGAAUGACCUAGUUUGACUUGACACGGAGUUUAAGCAAAUAAAAAAGACUUUUUAAUUUUGUGGUCCUAAAUUAAAGUUAAGUCAAAUGUACCAAAAUAUCUUUAAUCUUGUGAACUUAAACUUGACACGAUAAAUUAAUGGUUUACCAAAAAUAGAAAUGAGUCAUUAUUUUUUAAACAAACUGACAAGAAAAAUACAUUAUUCUUUUUGAAACAGGCUAACAAGGAAAGAAAAGUAUAUUAUUAUUUUUUGAAACAGAGUAAUAAUUAAUAAGAAUUUUAGUACAAUUACAACAGAUGUAAGGCUACAAAUUGUAACUGAAACUACUACUUGUACUAUAGUUACUACGAACACAAAGGGUUUCUAACACUUUGUUUGGAUGGUUGUUACGUAUUGUUUUAUAAUGUAUUAUAUUAUAUUAUAUUAUAUUUGUUGUAUUGUAUUGUACUGUAUUGUUUUAAUGAAUACAAUGUUUAGAUAGAUUGCAACGUUCUCUGUCAUUACAUAAUGUUACACAUCCAUAAUUUGAAUGAUAAGCCUACAAAAAAAGUAGGGUACGGGAUCAGUGGCGGAGCCAGGAUUUUCAGUAAGGGGGUUCAAAAUCUAAAAAUAUAGACACACGAAGUAGCCGAAGGGGGGUCGACAUCUACUAUAUAUACCUAAAAAAUUAUUUUUAACCAUAUAUAAAUCAUAUAAUUUUUCCGCCGAAGGGGGGUCGGAUGACCCCCCUCAUUGUAAGGUGGCUCAGCCACUGUACGGGAUAUAGCUACUAUGAAAAGGUAGGAUAAAAUAUGAAAUAUGAUUCUUAAAUAAUAAAUAAAGACAAAAUGAGAAGAAAAUAUUAAGGUAACGACACGAUAAAACCAAAUUGAUCGUUACAUAAAAAUUAAAAUAUGUCUUUUUAUCGUUACCUAACGAUGAAUUUAAACAAUACGAUAUAAGAACAAAGAACAAAUCUAACUGUUUUUUCUUUUGGCUUAUAUAUUUUGACAUAUAUAACAACUUUUUUUAUUUUGGUUUUAAGACCAAAUGAGCUUGUGGUCAUUAAUUGCCUGCGUAGAUGGUUAAGCUUGAAGAAGUCAACAAAAUUGAGAGAGUUGUACUUUCACCUCACCUAGGUAUUAAGUACGAACUGUAUACUUUUCAAUCAUUUUUACUCACUAGGUAAACCCCACUUGUAAUAGCCUGCUGCAAACUACAUCGAAGAUAUAAAUCGUACUAAGCAAUUACUAUGCAGUAGUUUUUCAAUGUUAAUAUAUACAAUAUUUAAAUAAUUACAUAUUUAUUGUUCAUAUUAAUUGAAAUUUUUAGUUUGUACUCAAUCUUUUACUAAUCAUUAUGUAAUAUUUUUAAAAUUUUUAUUAUUUGUUAAAAUACAACUGAUGUAAUUAUAAUUAAAAGUUGUAGGUAAUUAUAUUUAUAGCUAAUUUCUACUUCUUAAUUUGUUUAAUGCAUUUCAAUUUGAAUCAAUCACGUUUUAAUAUUGACUUUCUAAGAUUGUUAUCAAUUUUUUCAGGUGUCUUUUUAGACAUUUCAAGCUCAAACCAAUUAUAUUAUCGAAUAAUUAAAUUUACAAAAACAUUGACUAACUUUGAAUGUCUUAUAAAGCGUAACAAUCACUAUAAUAUUGAUGAGUUAGACCUAUUUUUAUAAUUUAAGAUAAUACGGAAUAUUAUACAAGUAAAAAUAAUACUCCAAUAAUUGACAUACUAGGUGAUGUCUUAAUACUAUUUUUUUAUAAAUAUUUCUACUACUUCUAGAAUAAUUUUGAUAGUUUAUGUAAUAAUUGACUCAAUUUAAAAAGUUUUUAAGACUAUGAUCAAUAAGAAUUUACCUAGAAUAUAAACAUUUGUGGUAUUAUGUAACGUAUAAUAAUUUAUAUAUAACUAUUUCAGUCCUAUGAAUUAUUACAAAAAAUAUAUAUUAUACUAUCGAUUGAAAUUUAAAAAAAUAUUGUACUAACAAUUGAAAAAGAGAAUUAACUAUCAAAUUUAUAAUUAACUAUUAGAAUAUAUAAAUGAUUACAUAAACAUAAGAUCUCUUUUUUUUAAAUUUAGUUUUAGGUCUCGCAUCCUAUUAAGUUGUCCCCGAUAUUCUGGGUGGGGUGACAUCUCAAUAUAUGUGGUAAAAUCCAUCAAUCACAUACUCAACCUUAGUAUUAUGUCUUCUCCCUUCCUAAAUCUUCCUGCUUUUUACAUCAGGCAUCAUCAUCAGAAUUGUGUUUUCUUUGUGACUUCUUAUUUUUAGCAUCACAGACAUCAUCAUACUCAGUAACAUGUCUUAUGUAACGACUCGAACCGUCGUUAAUUAGGAAAAGCAAAAAUUCGGGAUAAAAUGUUGGUUUGAUGGUAAAGUACCCAGCAGAAAUGGGCCACUAUCCCGUCAGGGCGGACCAGAUGCCGCUAGGGUGCCGGCGCCAGGGCGGGGUAAGUUGGCGCCAGAGUGGGAUAGGCGAGAAAAAAUGUAAAUAACACGAAAUCCUAUUUUCUCCUUUUUCCUAAAAUACCUAAAUUAGUCGUAAAACACCCUAGAAACUCUCAGAAAGCUGCUCUAAGUUUGGAAAUGAAGGAAAAGGAGAUUUCUAGUGUGAGAAUGGUGAUAUCUUGCGGAUUCUUGGCCAAAUUCACCAUCAUGUCGUUCGGAAAACCAGAAAAUUAUCUGUAAUUACUCCGUGCAGCUGCUUGGCGCCCAGUUAGGCUAGGUUUUAUUAAUUGAAUAGUUAUAAAUUUGUGUUCACCACGUAGCAUAUGUAAAUCAACGGUAGAAUUAUGCGUAUGCCCUUGUGCACCGAACAAAAUAUGGUUAAAUCCUAGGAAGAAGCCUUAGAGAAUGAUCUAGAGUUAGGUGAUGGUUGUGAGUCUAUGAUUGUGUGAUGUAUGUUUAUUCUUGUUUCAUUAUGAUACAUGUAUGUAUGUGAAUGUUGCAUUAUUGAUCACACUUGUUGUAAAGGAGAUAGAGGGACGAUGAAUGCCAUGAAUCAUGACUAAAUUGUGUGACCUUGAGAAUAUACUUGUGAUUGUGAUUGUGGUGUGUUGAAUAGAUCGGUUGCCACGUUCCGGCAUAAAUAUGAGAUUGGUUGCCAUGUUCUGACAUAACUAACAUGGAUCAGUUGCCACGUUUUGGCAUAACUAAUUUGGAUCGAUUGCCACGUUCCGGCAUAACUAACUUGGAUCGGUUGCCACGUUCCGAUAUAAAUAUGAGAUUGAUUGGCACGUUUCGGCAUAAAUCUUGGAUCGGGUACCACGUUCCGGUAUGCUAACAGUUUGGGUUUUGGGUUCCAUGAGAGGACCAAUGACUUGACAUAAUUGUGUACUUCGAGGAUUGUGAAAUUGAAUGUGGUUCGUAAUGAUAAAUGAUAUUGUAAUUCCCUGGAGUAGUCGUAUGGUAAUGAGGACUUUUAUCUUAUUGUUCUUUGUGUUGGAUGAACUUGUUGUGUAUGUGGUUGUUGGGUGAAUCGGGAGGCCAAGGGUUCAAGGGUCGUAAUAAUUGAAAGCAAGGGCAGUCCGUAUGUUACAAGGGUGAGAAGUAGAGGUAGUAUACGUGAUGUAAAUGCUUAAGUGGAUUUCACUUGGAAGAAAGGGAUUCGUAUUUAGUGGUUUGAAAGCUUGACGUAAUGUACUAUGUGACCAGGGCUGGGUAAUACGAAGAGAAAGUAAGGGUGUGACGUGAGCGGUUAGUUGGAACGCUUGUAGUUAUAUUUGGGGAUUUUUUGUGUGCUAGAAUAUAUGGUUAGUCUAUGACCAAGUACCUAGUAAGUAGGUUGACUGAAAAGAUUGUUAGUAGUUAGAGUACUAAUGUAAUUUGGAGGUAUUUCGAGAGAGAGUAAAGGUGGAGAAGCGAGUGGUUUUAUUUCAUGAUCUUACUAGUUGGUUUCUUAUGUUAUGUGGUGUGCGUCGAGUUCGUGUGGUUGUACUGAUACUACUCUUGCUAUGUCUUUUGACAUAGACUUGAUGCAGGUUGGUGAUAUUCCAUUAGGUGAAGACGAAAAAAUUCUCCAGCAGCUUCUAUCUUUCUUUCCGCAUGGUGGGAGCGAUGUCUUUUAAAUUAUUAUGUCCAGUUGUACUCUUAAUAGCUCUUGUAUUUGUUUAGACUAGAUUCUUGGGGGUGUUAGUUACUUUACAAGUUUAACUCUAAAUUGUUUAAAUUUUUAUUUAGAGAAAAUACAUAAUUACCCCAUCAAAUUUGUACCAUUUUUUGAAGUAGACGCCUAAAGUUUGCGGGGGGAGUCCUAUUACCCCAUCCAACCAUUUCCAAGAAUUUUAAAUACACUGUUUUUAUAAAAUUUGCAGUCUCAUAAUUUGUGCGUGUGUUUCACCCUCUUACUUGUUUAAUAGUAGGUCGGGUAAAACCCUGACCCACUUACAUUUUAACCCAUAAACCUUUUCAGAAAAAUUCAUGUUCAUCUUUUCCAAUUUCUUUUCCCAAUUCUUUCGAUUUACUUUACUUCAAAAGAUUUAUUUUUUUUGGAUGUUUAUUUAGUGUUUGAUUUUAAUUUGUUUCCCCAAAAAUUAGUUUAAUCCUUUUUAACUUUGUGGGUAUUCCGAAAUCAGCCUAGCUUUGAGUUCUAUAAGUGAAUUUCACAUUUUUUUGAAUUUGUACAAGUAGAUUCUUUGAUACUUUUGUUCUUGGGAAACUAUAUGAACGGAAAUGGGUUCAAAUUUCUUUGUUGAAAGGUAAAUUAUGUGCUAAAUUGACCAAGUAUUUUGUCGUUGUUAAAUAGAUUUUUCUAAUAAAAGACCUUAAGAUGGAUUGCUAGAACUUGAUGAUAGAGUAUACAGUAAAGCAAUUCGCUUCGCGUAGUAAAAAACCAACUUUUGUUGUUGAGAAAAGCUCUCAACAAUCAUUAAUGGUGGUUUUGGGAAGAAGAAACGUGGGUCUCUUUUCACUUUGGUUUAACAAUGCCAUGUGUUAGCUUUUCAUUGGUUUGUGGCUGCAAUUUUACCCUUUCACGCGCUUCUCUAGUGUGAAAUCACAAUUACCUUGAAAAUGAGUCAAAAUGAUGUAUUUAUUGUGGAUUUAAAUGAUUUCGUGGGGUAAUAGGACCUCCGCAAACUUAAGGUGUCUUAUUCAAAAAAGGGUUUAAGUUUGAUGGGGUAAUUAUGUAUUUUCUCUUUUAUUUAUGAAAACUCGAUGAUUUCGUUUAUCUCCGUUUUUCGUUAAUUUUUCCACAUGUUUUAACUUUUGCGAUAUGAUGUUUCUCCUACUUAGACGUUAGAGUGGGUGUCCGCACGGCCCAGUGGGUUGGGUCGUGACAUAUUCUAACUUCAUGAAUUUUCCUACUUUUUACAUCACGAUCACUACCAUCAGAAUCGUCAUCAGAAUCAUGUCUUCUACCUCUCUGUGACUUCUUGUUUUUACCGUCACGACCAUCAUCAUUGUCAUCAGACUUAUGUCUUUAACCUCUUUGUAAGGUCUUGUUUUUAGCAUCACGACCAUCAUCAUAUUUAUUCUCAGCAACAUGUCUUUUCUCUUUCUGAAUCAUCUUGUUUAAGCCAUCACAGUCAUUGCCAUGGUCAUCCUCAUCAGAAUCAUGUCUUCUACCUCUUUGUGAGGUCUUGUUUUUAGCAUCACGACCAUCAUCAUAUUUAUCCUCAGCAACAUGUCUUUUAUCUUUCUGAAUCAUCUUGUUCAUGACAUCACGAUCAUUGUUAUGGUCAUCCUCAUCAGAAUUUGUGAGGUCUUCUUUUUAGCAUCACGACCAUCAUCAUAUUUAUCCUCAGCAACAUGUCUUUUCUCUUUCUGAAUCAUCUUGUUUUUGACAUCACGGUCAUUGUCGUGGUCAUCCUCAAUAAAAUCAUGUCUUCUACCCUGUUGAAGCUUAAUGAUUUUUGCAUCACGGCCAUCAUUAUCACCCACAAAAUGUCUCAUAUGCAAUUUCACGUGUUUCUUCUCAUGAUCAGACUCUGAAUAAGAGUCAGAAUCAGAAUCAGAGGAUGAAUCGUCACUGUGAUGCCGCCUUCUAACCUUCUUGAACUUGAAAGACAACUUUCUUGACUUUUUACCACCAACAGUAUCAGAAUCAGAACUAGCAUGAGCCUUCUUACAGGUUUUCUUAGACUCUUUGGCAUGGAUUUCACUGCUGUCAGUGUUAGACGAAUCGUCACGUCCUCUCCUCUUCUCUUUUUUCUUAUGACGCUUACCCUCGUCCUUUUCUUUUGCCAAGUCAUUAACUUCAGGGGCGUAUCUAGAGGGGGUGUUGUGGGUUCACGUGAACCCAUGCUCCCCUCUCUAGAUCAUAUAUAAUAGUGUUAUAUUUUUUAUAAAAUAUUUAAAUAUAGAUGUGUGAACCCACGUUCAAAGUAUUGUAUUAUACGAUGAUGAUUGGGUGCACCCCUCUAAGUGAGGAUAGAAAUUUAAAUCUUAUAUCUAUCUUGUCUUUUACUAACACCUCUCUCUCUAAGUGGUUAUUGGUUACACUUUUGGCGUUUCAACUAAUUAUUCUUUUGUUUUUUUCCAUUAAUCUUUCAAAAUUUUCAAGUGUGUUACAUUGAAAAUUCCUAAAAAAAUUAGCACUGUAAAAUUUUUAUAUCAUUAAAUCAAAUGUGUAUAUUAAAAUUUAAAACUAGUAGCAUUAUAUGUUUUGGACCUAUAAUUUUUAAAAUUUAAUGGUUCAUAUUAAAAACUUAAAAGUCAAACCGAUCAAAUUUAUAUUUAAGAUACAUUUUUUUUGUAAUUGUGCACCCAUCUUGUGGAAAUCUUGGAUACGCCUCUGAUUAACUUCACCCUCUUCAAAAUGAGCUAAAGCAUCAUGCUGCUUCUUCGGAGUGUCGUGUUCAGCCCCUAUCUUGAGAGCAACUUUUAAGUUUUCCAUUUGAUUUUCUUUCAAAGCAGCGAUCUGGUGUGUUUGUGUUUCCAAAACCCUGGAAUGAACAAGUUUAGUUAUUGCAUAUCAACCUCACGGUAUCUAUAAAAAUACUGAAAAAAUGAUCAAAAUAGUCCCUAAUGUAUGAGGGUUGCAUUAUUUUGAUCCUUAAUAUAUUCAACAUGAUUCAUAUGGUCCUUAAUGUAUUAUAAAAGAUACUCAAUUUGGUCAUUUGCCCUAAAAGUAACAAAUCCAUCAGUUAACUUUAACGUCAGGCCCACUAAAAAAUAAAAUACCAAAAGCUCCCUUUCUCCUUCAUCAGGCAUAGCUGAAAGGGAUAAUUGUACAAAAUGACAAACUUAUAAUCUAAAAUAAAUGGAGUAGCUACUGUUUGAUUUAAUUGCGCCCUGUAGCAAACGUUUGCCAGUCGCCUCUCUCCCUCCAAAUUCUCGCUCGCCACUCUCCCUUUCUCGCUCGCUCCCCCUGUGCUCGCCUCUCUCGCUUUAUACAACAGAAUUGUAUAAAUUGCGUUUUUGUUUGUAUAAAGCGAGAUAAAAUUGUAUAUACACAUGAAAAUACAUAUAUAUUCGUCCUAUACACUUAUAAUUAUACAAUAAAAAUAUUCCCCUGCCUAGUUCUCUUUUGCCUUUCUCUCUUUCUCGUUUUAUACAAACACAGAUUAUACAAUAUAAUGUAAAAUUUAUGUUUGUAUAAUGUAUAAUUUAUGUUUGUAUUAAAGCGAAAGAAAAUUGUUAUAUACACAUGCAAAUACAUAUAUAUUCGUCUUAUACACUUAUACUUAUACAAUACAAAUAUUCCUCUGCCCAGAUCUCUUUUGCCUUUCUCUCUUUCACGUUUUAUACAAACACAGAUUAUACAAAUAUAAUGUAUAAUUUAUGUUUGUAUAAGAGAAAGAGAGCGAUUUUUUAUAUAUAAAUAUUUUUGUCAACGAUUUAUACAAACGAGAGGCUAACAACAAUUUAUACAAAUGGCCUGCCAGCGAAAUUAUACAAAUCUGAAGAGGAGCCAACGAAUUAUACAAUUGCUUCUUUUUGUAUAUAUGUAUAGCGAAAUAGACAUAACUUUCAAUUUGUAUAUGUAUAAGCGAAUUAUACAUAUAUUAUGUUUGUUAUGGAGCGCAAUUAUGCAAACUUUGCUAUAGCAUACAAAUAUGAUUUUUUUGUUUGCUAUAUGUGAAAGUUGCUCCAGCUGAAAAGCUUGGCCUAAUUGUUCUCCCUUCUCCGGUGAUUAUAAUGUUCUAGGCCAUCGACACACCACCGGUCGUCCACCAGUCAGCCGUUGCUCUCCACUUUAGUCCCUCCGCCACCCAUCCUCUAUUCCCACGGUUUAUUAGCCCUAAUCCAAAAUUAGGAUUUCUAAAAAAAUUAUAUGUAUAAUUAAGUUAGAAAAUUAGUUUUUUUUUUACAUUGUUAUUGAUAUUAUAAGAUUUGAUCCUAUAUUUAGAAUUGUUAAUGUCUCUAGUGAGAGCCAAUUGUAUAUGUGUUGUCGUCAUAAUUUUUUUUAACAGACCGUGUCCCUGUGUUUGUGGCAACAUUUUUCAGCUUUAAAAUUUGUCAUAAGGGGUUGAUGAAGCAAAUUUCUAUUUCCUUAUCAAUUCUGCUGGCUCCAAAUAUAAUACAUCUAAACACGAAUGAUAACAGAGUCAAAUCUAGAAAUUCAUUAGCUAGUUUCAACUAGAUUUUUUAUUGGGUAAGACUUACCCGUAUUGGGUGUUUACAUCAAGUCAAUACAUGCAUGUCAUGUGUUUAAAUUUAUUGUACAUUUUACUUAAUCAUAAUUAAUUAACAUAUGUUUUAUUUCAUUAAAUCAUGUAAUAAUGGAAAUUGCAUUAGUUUGGUGUAUACACCUGGUGCGGGUAAGUUUUUUGCAUUUUUAUUGGUGAUUGGAAUAAUGUUGGAUAAAAUAACAUUAAAAAUGUUGGUGUAAUAUACCACAAAUAUAAUAAAUUACAGUUGAAAUAAAAUGAACAAAAAUGAAUAUAUUAAUCUUCAGGCUGAGGCACGGAUAUCUCGCUCUGUUUAAGGAUAUCCAAGCCCACUGUGGCAUAAUCUACACCGAUCCAGCAGUAUCACUCUUGACUUGUCCCCUCCAGGAUACAACAGUCCAACAACGUCGUACAACUCAAACAAAUCCAGAUUAGUUGAAGAGUCCAAAGCUCCACAAAAAAACACUUUCCUUCAACAUAUAAUAUUCUCUUUUGUAUAGUGAAUAUAGUGGAAGACUUAAAAUUUUCUUUGUUUCAACUCUCUCUUUCACUACACGAACCUCAAUAUAAACUUCUUAUCUUUUCUUACAUUAUUUCACUUCUACUUGGAUCCUUCACAAAGGAAGAAACACCACUAUUUAUAGGUGAAGCAGUCUUUCAUAUAAUCAAUGGGUAGAAUGAGGGGUAGUAAUGUGGGUAGAUGUUACAUGAGUUACAAGAAACUAAUGGUCAUAUGAGUUACAAGGAACUAAUGGUCAUAUGAGUUACAAGGAACUAAUGGUCAUAUGAGUUACAAGGAACUAAUGGUCAUAUGAGUUACAAGGAACUAAUGGUCAUAUGAGUUACAAGGAACUAAUGGUCAUAUGAGUUACAAGGAACUAAUGGUCAUAUGAGUUACAAGGAACUAAUGGUCAUAUGAGUUACAAGGAACUAAUGGUCAUAUGAGUUACAAGGAACUAAUGGUCAUAUGAGUUACAAGGAACUAAUGGUCAUAUGAGUUACAAGGAACUAAUGGUCAUAUGAGUUACAAGGAACUAAUGGUCAUAUGAGUUACAAGGAACUAAUGGUCAUAUGAGUUACAAGGAACUAAUGGUCAUAUGAGUUACAAGGAACUAAUGGUCAUAUGAGUUACAAGGAACUAAUGGUCAUAUGAGUUACAAGGAACUAAUGGUCAUAUGAGUUACAAGGAACUAAUGGUCAUAUGAGUUACAAGGAACUAAUGGUCAUAUGAGUUACAAGGAACUAAUGGUCAUAUGAGUUACAAGGAACUAAUGGUCAUAUGAGUUACAAGGAACUAAUGGUCAUAUGAGUUACAAGGAACUAAUGGUCAUAUGAGUUACAAGGAACUAAUGGUCAUAUGAGUUACAAGGAACUAAUGGUCAUAUGAGUUACAAGGAACUAAUGGUCAUAUGAGUUACAAGGAACUAAUGGUCAUAUGAGUUACAAGGAACUAAUGGUCAUAUGAGUUACAAGGAACUAAUGGUCAUAUGAGUUACAAGGAACUAAUGGUCAUAUGAGUUACAAGGAACUAAUGGUCAUAUGAGUUACAAGAAACUAAUGGUCAUAUGAGUUACAAGGAACUAAUGGUCAUAUGAGUUACAAGAAACUAAUGGUUAUAUGAGUUACAAGACACUAACGACCAUGAGAGUUACAAGAAGUAAUGGUCAUAUAAGUUACAACAACUAAUAGUCAUUUAUACUCACUAACAUAUGCACUUAGUAUUUUAUUUUAAUAAUAAAAUACAUAUACACCAACAAAAAAAAUAUCCCAAUAAUAUGAGUCAAUUAUAUAUACACAUUUUGAUAUCAAAUAUCUAAACCUUUAUACUAAAAAAUUCUACACAAAAAAAAUAGCUUGAUAAGAUUUCUAUUUAGAUAAAUAUUUUUAAAAUAUGUGCAUACAUUAUGAAGUAUAUCUAUAAUUACAUACCCAGUUUAUUUCUUUUUUUAUGACCCAUUAGAUUAAAAACAGAAUGUAUGAAACAAAUAGUUUUUGUUUUUUAUAAUUAAAUAUAUGAGUAUAGCUGUAUAAGUUAUUUAUAUUUUUUUAAUUAGAAUAUUUUAUUUUAGAAAAUUUCUUAUUUUUACUUGAGUGUGCUUCUUUACUAUUGCGCUUCAAAGUUUUAUAUUUACUUGAUAAAAAAAAAAAAAAGUCUUAUGGUUACUUAGACAUUACAAUAUUUUUCUUAACGUAUAUACAAGGUUAUUUCUUGAAUAGUUUUUGAUAUUCUCCAAAAAUCAUGAUAUGGAAUUAUAUGGUGAUUCCAUAUCAUGAUUUGAGAUAUUUUAAUACAAAAAUUGAUUCACGAGUUUAUAUUUUGUUAAAACAACCCCACAUUUGUAUCUACUAAUCAUUUAUUUCAUAAGUAAAUAAAAUUUAUAAUCACAUCAUUACUUUUAAAAUUUAUUUAUUCUCACUGACAUAAAAUUUAUUAUUCUCACCAACAUAUAGUCACUUUAACUCACACCAAUCGAUUGUUAAAGUGAAGAAAUAUUUAUGGUCUAUGAGCAUGAAAAUAUAGUUGCGGAUGAUAUUGACCAACAAAUGGCUCAAAGUAACAAUGUUGGUUCGUCUUCUCGGUCACAUGAUCGAGAAAUGAAAGUUCAACGUGAGAAAAUUUUCCGUACUAUGUGGGAGGAUUAUAUUAAAGACUAGUACACUACAAUUUAUGUUCAAUUUUUUUUUUAUUAAAUUAAAGUUAAAUGAAACAAUUACUUAAGUGGAGAACAAAUAGCUUUGUAAUAAUUUAUUAUGCGAUUUUAUAAUUUUUGUUUAUUUGAUAAGAUUGAAUAAACAAUUGGGGCUAUUUUAAUAGUUUUACAACUUAUGGAAUUUUUAUGUUUAUGAGAAAAAUAUACAACACAAAAAUUUCCAUAUCGCAUGUCCAAACAAAACUUCAAAUUUCAUCUCAUGAUUCCAUAUCAUGAUAUCAUAUCAUGAUUUCAUAUCAUGAUACCAUAUCGCAUGGCCAAACGGGCCCAUAACAUCACCAUUAUAGUGUCCACCACUGUGGAUGCAACAAGAAAUUUACAAAAAUACUCUUCCAUUUCAUCAGAAUUACCAUUUCUAACCUUAACAUUCCAUUUUUUAGAAAAUUCAUCAAAUUUAGCAAAUUCAACAUUCCUAUUGUAAAAAAGGGUGAUAUUAAAUGAGUAACAUAGUCAUCCAAGUAUUGAAUGAAUAGCUUUUUUUGGUAUAUAAGUAGGUGAAGAAGAAGGAAAAGGAAUAUAAGGAAGUUGACAAAAUUGUUUAGGUAAAUGAAGAUGAACUCUAUCAUAAGAAUAUUUUUUCCACGUAGGAGAGUAACAAUCUUCUUUUUGAAGAAUGAGAUUUGGUAUACAUAAUUUAUUUAUUCAAAGUCUUUAUAGUUUGACUCUGAAAAAGGAAGUUAUGACAAUUAAAAGUGGACAGAGUCAGGGGCGGAGCAACUGUAGAGGAAGGGGAUUUGGCCGAACCCACUGACUUUUUCGUAGACUCUAUAUUUAUAUUAAAAUAUGAAGUACAAUGUAUAUAUAUAUAUAUAUAUAUAUAUAUAUAUAUUUCCUGCAAACUCAUAAACACACUGAAGCAUUUAGUCCAGUGAUAGUUGAGCACCCAUCGAGAUCAUUCACACCCCAGUGGUCCAGGGGUUCGAAUCUCGGUAGUCACACAAAUUUGGGUUUAUAUAAAAAAAUAAUUAAAAAACAAAAAAUUGUUAAAUGAAAAAUAAAUAGUAUUUGUAUCGUACUCUGAAACUACAAUAUCUGACUAUUGAUUUCUAUUCAUAUUCAAAAAGUUUAACUCAAUUUUUUUUCUCCAAAAGUUAUGAUUCUAACUUUUAUUGUUGAUCUAAUUGUUGCUAUCCAACAUCUGGCCUCCGGUGUAUACUCUUGUCUCUCCCUUUUCAUUUUUUUCCUUAUUUGGUUCCUUAUUUGUUUUUAGUGAAUUGAAUACUUGUAUUUGUUCGUUAAUUUGAUGAUUGUUACUUUAGGUUAAGAUCGGUAUUCUUUUUAAAAAUUUAGAACCAACUGACAUGAAAUCAUGUCUCCACUUCUGCAUAAACUGUGUCUUUUUAUCAUUAUCUAAGGAUGAAUUUAAACGAUACAAUAUAAGAGCACAAGAACAAAUCUAACUAUUUUUUCUUUUGGCUUAUACAUUUUGACAUAUAUAACAACUUUUUUUAUUUUGGUUUUAAGACCAAAUGAGCUUGUGGUCAUUAAUUAACUGCGUAGAUGGUUAAGCUUGAGGAAGUCAACAAAAUUGAGAGAGUUGUACUUUCACCUCACCUAGGCAUUAAGUACGAGCUGUAUACUUUUCAAUCAUUUUUGUGCACUAGGUAAACCCAAACCUGUAAUAACCUGCUGCAAAUCACAUUGAAGAUAUAAAUCGUACUAGGUAAUUUUUAUGCGAUAAUUUUUCAAUGUUAAUAUAUACAAUAUUUAAAUAAUUACAUAUUUAUUGUUCAUAUUAAUUGAAAUUUUUAGUUUGUACUCAAUCUUUUACUAAUCAUUAUGUAAUAUUUUUAAAAUUUUUAUUAUUUGUUAAAAUACAACUGAUGUAAUUAUAAUUAAAAGUUGUAGGUAAUUAUAUUUAUAGCUAAUUUCUACUCCUUAAUUUGUUUAAUUCAUUUCAAUUUGAAUUAAUCACGUUUUAAUAUUGACUUUCUCAGAUUUUUAUCAAUUUUUUUAGGUGUCUUCUUAGACAUUUCAAGCCCAACCCAAUUAUAUUAUCGAAUAAUUAAAUUUAAAAAGACAUUGUCUAACUUUGAAUGUCUUAUAAAGCGUAACAAUCACUACAAUAUUGAUGAGUUAGACCUAUUUUUAUAAUUAAAGGUAAUACGAAAUAUUAUACAAAAUAAAAAUUAUACUCCAAUUGACAUACUAGGUGAUGUCUUAAUGCUAUUUUUUAUAAAUAUUUCUACUACUUCUAGAUAAACAUUUGUGGUAUUGUGUAACGUAUAAUAAUUUAUAUAUAACUAUUUCAGUCCUAUGAAUUAUUACAAAAAAAUUUAUUAUACUAUCAAUUGAAAAAGAGAAUUAGUUAUCAAAUUUAUAAUUAACUAUUAGAAUAUAUAAAUGAUUACAUAAACAUAAGAUCUCUUUUUAAAAAAAUAUUUGACUUUAGGUCUCGCAUCCUAUUAAGCUAUCGCAAUUCUGGCUGGGUGACAUAUCAAUAUAUGUGAUAAAUUUCAAUCUUGUAUCUAUAAAUUACACAAAAACAACUUUUUGGGAUUCAUGUUGUUGACCGUCCGAACUCCGAAAUUACUUUAUUGUAAAUUUAAUUUAACUUAAUUUAAUUUAAAUUAAAGUAAAGAUGAAUUAAUAUUAAUAAUCAUCACAAAAAUAUUCAGAAAAAUUUAAGGGAUAAAUUAUUAAAUUGAAUUACAUAUUAUAAUAGUUAGUAAUAAUUUUUUUACCAAUUUUAAAGAUUUAAAAAUUAAUACUAAAUUGACUAAUUUUCAAAUGAAGUUUAAACAUGAGUCGAUACUCAAAAUUCAACUCUAAGAUUACUACUAAUCUUAAAUUCUCUCACUCACAUUACAUUGCAUAAAAAAAAUUAAAUGUCAUAAUUUAAUUUAACUAACCAACAUUCACAUCCCUUCAUGUCUAAGACUCUAAAAACUCUCACUCAGCAAAAGCAAUAAAUAAUUAUUUAGAGAGCAGAGAGUUGAUAUGUGUGGCUAUGUUUUGGGCAUCAAAUGCAAUCCCAUAAAGUCCUCUUCUUGAUAACCCCACACAAUAGAGUCCAUUCUUCCCCUUCCAAUGUUGUGGAAAUUCUGGCUUUGGUAAUCCAUCUUCAUUCAGCAGAUAAUCAUCUCCCUACACAAUAAACACAUAUAGAAUGCAAAAAAUAAAAUAAAAUUUAGAAUCAUCUGAACUUAUUAUCUUUUUCUUCAAAAACAAAAUUAGAAAACAGAAGAAAAUCACACAACAAAGAAGACAAUUUAAUAUUAUUAUUAGAAUAAAAAAGAAAAGUUUACUUACCUGAAGCCACUUGUGAAUAGUUCUCUUGAAUCCAGUAGAAAAAACAAUACCAUCAAAUUGAUGAAUUUUACCAUUUUCCAACACAACAUCAUUUCCUCUUAUGCCUUUCAUUACAGGUAACACCUGUCACCAUCAUUUUAUUUAAUCACAUGAUUCAGAUACGGUUCGAAUUCCGCGAAUCAAACAGUUUAUGUUACCUGAAUUUCACCGGACUUGAUCUUUUGAUAAGUCCCCACAUCAAAAACAGGGUACUUCCCAUACUUUAUUUUACAAGCAAAUGGUCCUUCUUCUGGCCUUUUCACACCAUAAUAUUUGCUUAUAUCUCCGUACAUCAACUUACUUAACAUCACCAUUAUAGUAUCCACCACUGUAUAUGCAACUUUGUACUUCAACAACAUCAACCCCAAAUAUCCCAUUUCUCUUGAUAUCAAGUGCAUCUGUAACAUACAGACACACGAUUAGAAAUUUGGGAUUUUAAGUUUUAGGACAGAAGAAUGAUAUAACAAAAAUAAAAUAAAAAUAUUAUCAUUAAAUAUUUAUCAAAUAAGAAUGAGUACCCUAUAAGAAAUCAUCUGGAUUACGUAAGAUAAAUUUUAUCCAAUGUCGUACUUUCAAUCUUUCUGCUUCUGGCAUUACCAGUAAUAACAUUUAACCUUCCAUUUUUUAGUAAAUUUAUCAAAUUUAGCAAAUUCAACUUUUCUUUUGUAAAAAGGGGUGAUAUUAAAAUGAGUAACAUAGUUAUCCAAGUAUUGAAUGAAUAGUUUUUUUGGUAUAUAAGUAGGUGAAGAAGAAGGAAAAGGAAUAUAAGGAAGUUGACAAAAUUGUUUAGCUAAAUGAAGAUGAACUCUAUCAUAAGAAUAUUUUUUCCACAUAGGAGAGUAGCAAUCUUCUUUUUCAAGAAUGAGAUUUGGUAUACAUAAUUUAUUUAGACAUGCAGAUGUAGCAAGACCACCAGGCCCAGCACCAACAAUGAUAACCAUAGCUUCUUCAUGAUUAUCAAAUGUUGUCAUGACUAAAAUUGAGAAGAAAAUUUGAUGGUGUUGAGAGAAAAAAAAAAGAUGAGGGAUAUCUAUAUACAUGGAAAUAUACUAGAGGACAACUUUGGAGUCAUUAGAAUUUAUUUAUUUAUUUGACUAUUUUAGUUUUCAUAUGGUGACUUAUUAAUUUUUCUUUUCCUUUUUUUAUUUUGGUUUGAUUUGGUAGAUUGUGUUGAUGUUGAACUUAUUGGCAAGACACUUAUUAAAAUUAAUACUUGGUCCAUCUUUACUUGUCUACUAUAAUAUUUUGGCAUGUCUAAUAAUAUUUGUCCAGUUCAUAAAAUCAACGGAAAAUGAUCAUAUUUGCUCUUAUAGUUUCAGAAAAGGAUUAUAUUUUUCCUUUGUUAUACUUUUUUGAUAUAUUUAUCCUUGUCAUUUGCUCUUGAACCAUUAAAUCUCAUCAUUAUCCUAUGUGGCGUUUACUUGGUGUCUACGUGACAUGCCUACAUAGAUAUUUAUAUUUAUUCCACUCAAAUUAUAAUUUUUGAUUUAAUUAUUAUAUCCAAAUCCAACUCAAUACUAUACUCACUCUUUUAGCCCAUUAAACCCAACUCUCGAAUGCUUAUUUCAUUAUCACUUUCGCACAAGAAAAUAACAAUUAGAUCUGCUUAGUUGAACAAGAUUUCAUUAAACCCAACGUCUAAUUCUAACCCCCCCCCCCCCCCCCCCCCCGAUUGGUGCACAUGACUAAUUCUUACUAGCACUCUAAUUUCUCCUCCCCCUAAAAUUGCUAUGAUCAAAAUCAAACCGAUUUAUGCAUAAUCAGAAUUAUAUUUUUACUAGCAUGGACCAGUUUGGAAUUGAUCAGUUGAACUAGCUCACAUGCCUAUUACCCCACAAUUCCAUACCCCCAUCAUAUUCCAUUCCACUUAAUAAUUUUAUUGUUGAUGAGACAAAUAACUAUCGUAUCAUCAUAUCAAAUCAAAAUAUAUUUAUUUUUCCUUUUACAUAAAUUGCAACAAUCUUAAACAUGUAGUUGAUGGUUAUGACUAUGUGACGGUGGUUGUCUGGCUUAUGGUAAUUGCUAAUGAUUGUAGUUAUUUAUUAUACUAUAAAUGUCGAUGGCCAUAGUGGAUCAAGAGCUCGUAAUUGACUGUUAUGGUUGUCCAGUAAAGGUUAAUGCGUAGAAUUAAUAAUGCUAAAAAUAUUUUUACGGAAUCUCUGUAGUAAACAUCUUGAUUAAUGACUUUGUAUAAAGAAAAUUUUAAUUAUAUAAAAUUUAUGAAGAAUUAAUAAAUGAUUGUGAGAGGAAAAAAUAUAUUAAGUAACCUAAUAUAUCAAGAUUUAAAUUUAUACUUUCUUUUAAGUACAAAGAUAUAAGUAUUAAUGUUUAACAAAAUCAAUAGAUAAUUUCACACUUAAUUUCGAAUUUACCCUUAUCACUAAUUAUCGAUAUUUCUAUAUUACAUUUUUUAAGACAUAGUAUUUAUUAUUCAAAGGAUGAUAUAAUAAAAUUAUUCUUCUAUUAUAAUUUCUUAAGAAGUGUGUAAAGUCAAUAGUGAACAAAUAAUGUUGACACAGGGAGUAAGAAAAGACUUUAUUAUGUUUAUUAAAUUGUUCUUAUUAAAGUUACUUUAAUAUUUAUUUUUAAUUAAACUUUUUUCACAGUAAAAUAUUAAAUGAAAUUCAAUAAAAAUAAAAUAAAAAUAUUAUCAUUAAAUAUUUAUCAAAUAAGAAUGAGUACCCUAUAAGAAAUCAUCUGGAUUACGUAAGAUAAAUUUUAUCCAAUGUCGUACUUUCAAUCUUUCUGCUUCUGGCAUUACCAGUAAUAACAUUUAACCUUCCAUUUUUUAGUAAAUUUAUCAAAUUUAGCAAAUUCAACUUUUCUUUUGUAAAAAGGGGUGAUAUUAAAAUGAGUAACAUAGUCAUCCAAGUAUUGAAUGAAUUGUUUUUUGGUAUGUAAGUAGGUGGAGAAGAAGGAAAAGGAAUAAAAGGAAGUUGACAAAAUUGUUUAG
This 24709-nucleotide long non-coding RNA is filed under the name Solanum tuberosum (potato). Its description in RNAcentral is "long non-coding RNA (STUB_LNC009326)". The record is from RNAcentral. Lineage: Eukaryota; Viridiplantae; Streptophyta; Magnoliopsida; Solanales; Solanaceae.